Molecule: non-coding RNA, 280 nt
Organism: Lolium perenne
Lineage: Eukaryota; Viridiplantae; Streptophyta; Magnoliopsida; Poales; Poaceae
Source: RefSeq, a predicted model, not a curated record
CAAGCUCAGCAGAGUUCUCCUCAUCACCACUGCUACUGGUGAACAUACACAGUGGCACAUCAUUUGCCUGGUUCUCUUCUGCCACUGCCCUUCUAAGCUUCCUUAUGGUAAGUGGGCUAUGUGCAAUUUUGGCCAACGCUGCUUCAGGUUGGUUCACUUCAUUCUCUUCUUCCACCAGCACAGGCUCAGCAGAGUUCUCCUCACCACCACUGCUACCGAUGAAUAUGCACAGCGGCGCAUCAUCUGCCUCGUUCUCUUCUGCCACUGCCCUCCUAAGCUU